This 461-nucleotide ribosomal RNA is filed under the name uncultured bacterium. RNAcentral's name for it is "partial 16S ribosomal RNA". It matches the Rfam family "Bacterial small subunit ribosomal RNA", at positions 355 to 809 of the family's 1533-position model. The record is from RNAcentral.
UAGGGAAUCUUCGGCAAUGGACGAAAGUCUGACCGAGCAACGCCGCGUGAGUGAAGAAGGUUUUCGGAUCGUAAAACUCUGUUGGUAGAGAAGAACGUUGGUGAGAGUGGAAAGCUCAUCAAGUGACGGUAACUACCCAGAAAGGGACGGCUAACUACGUGCCAGCAGCCGCGGUAAUACGUAGGUCCCGAGCGUUGUCCGGAUUUAUUGGGCGUAAAGCGAGCGCAGGUGGUUUAUUAAGUCUGGUGUAAAAGGCAGUGGCUCAACCAUUGUAUGCAUUGGAAACUGGUAGACUUGAGUGCAGGAGAGGAGAGUGGAAUUCCAUGUGUAGCGGUGAAAUGCGUAGAUAUAUGGAGGAACACCGGUGGCGAAAGCGGCUCUCUGGCCUGUAACUGACACUGAGGCUCGAAAGCGUGGGGAGCAAACAGGAUUAGAUACCCUGGUAGUCCACGCCGUAACGA